AAAUCCCUGCUGUAUACGAUACUGUCGCCACUUUAUAAUCCAACACUUACUUUUCGGGAGAGCCAUUCUCCUCUGACCGAUUGCAGACCUCCCGGCCCAGCCGGACGAAGGGAGCAUGACCUCAGAGGGAGCUCACCCACCUGUCUUCGGACGGGUUUUAAAAGGCGAUGGAACGGUACGGCGGGGUAUUU
RNAcentral lists this non-coding RNA (191 nucleotides) under Merdimmobilis hominis. RNAcentral describes it as "6S RNA". It matches the Rfam family "6S / SsrS RNA". From Rfam's summary of the family: E. coli 6S RNA was the first non coding RNA to be sequenced, but its function was unknown until recently. Lineage: Bacteria; Bacillati; Bacillota; Clostridia; Eubacteriales; Oscillospiraceae. The record is from RNAcentral.